AAAUCAAUCAAUAAUAAGUUACAGUGAUAUAAGAGUGAAAAUUU
Molecule: non-coding RNA, 44 nt
Filed under: Trypanosoma brucei brucei
Lineage: Eukaryota; Euglenozoa; Kinetoplastea; Trypanosomatida; Trypanosomatidae
Source: RNAcentral